RNAcentral lists this ribosomal RNA (468 nucleotides) under uncultured bacterium. Its description in RNAcentral is "partial 16S ribosomal RNA". It matches the Rfam family "Bacterial small subunit ribosomal RNA", at positions 28 to 507 of the family's 1533-position model. The record is from RNAcentral.
GACGAACGCUGGCGGCGUGCUUAACACAUGCAAGUCGAACGGAAAGGCCCUGCUUUUGUGGGGUGCUCGAGUGGCGAAAGGGUGAGUAACACGUGAGUAACCUGCCCUUGACUUUGGGAUAACUUCAGGAAACUGGGGCUAAUGCCGGAUAGGAGCUCCUGCUGCAUGGUGGGGGUUGGAAAGUUUCGGCGGUUGGGGAUGGACCCGCGGCUUAUCAGCUUGUUGGUGGGGUAGUGGCUUACCAAGGCUUUGACGGGUAGCCGGCCUGAGAGGGUGACCGGCCACAUUGGGACUGAGAUACGGCCCAGACUCCUACGGGAGGCAGCAGUGGGGAAUAUUGCACAAUGGGCGGAAGCCUGAUGCAGCAACGCCGCGUGCGGGAUGACGGCCUUCGGGUUGUAAACCGCUUUCGCCUGUGACGAAGCGUGAGUGACGGUAAUGGGUAAAGAAGCACCGGCUAACUACGUG